GGGAAUGCCUGGUAGCCGCCCAGGCGCACCCAGAAACCCUUUGUGAACUUAUACCUUACUGUUGCCUCGGCGCAUGCUGGCCCCCUCGGGGCCCCCUGGAGACAGGGAGCAGGCACGCCGGCGGCCAAGUUAACUCUUGUUUUUACACUGAAACUCUGAGAAAAAACACAAAUGAAUCAAAACUUUCAACAACGGAUCUCUUGGUUCUGGCAUCGAUGAAGAACGCAGCGAAAUGCGAUAAGUAAUGUGAAUUGCAGAAUUCAGUGAAUCAUCGAAUCUUUGAACGCACAUUGCGCCCUCUGGUAUUCCGGAGGGCAUGCCUGUUCGAGCGUCAUUUCAACCCUCAAGCAUUGCUUGGUGUUGGGGCACUGCUUUUAACGAAGCAGGCCCUGAAAUCUAGUGGCGAGCUCGCUAGGACCCCGAGCGUAGUAGUUAAACCCUCGCUUUGGAAGGCCCUGGCGGUGCCCUGCCGUUAAACCCCCAACUUCUGAAAAUUUGACCUCGGAUCAGGUAGGAAUACCCGCUGAACUUAAGCAUAUCAAUAAGCGGAGGAA
This 554-nucleotide ribosomal RNA is filed under the name Diaporthe liquidambaris. Its description in RNAcentral is "eukaryotic LSU rRNA". The stretch from base 181 to 334 matches the Rfam family "5.8S ribosomal RNA". The record is from RNAcentral. Lineage: Eukaryota; Fungi; Ascomycota; Sordariomycetes; Diaporthales; Diaporthaceae.